AUUGCCUCAGUAACGGCGAGUGAAGCGGCAACAGCUCAAAUUUGAAAUCUGGGGCCUUCGGCCUCCGAGUUGUAAUUUGAAGAGGAUGUUUCGGCGGCAGCUUUGGCCCAAGUUCCUUGGAACAGGACGUCAUGGAGGGUGAGAAUCCCGUGUCUGGCUGAUAGCUUGCUGCCAUGUGAAACUCCUUCGAAGAGUCGAGUUGUUUGGGAAUGCAGCUCAAAAUGGGUGGUAAAUUUCAUCUAAAGCUAAAUAUUGGCGGGAGACCGAUAGCGCACAAGUAGAGUGAUCGAAAGAUGAAAAGCACUUUGAAAAGAGAGUUAAACAGUACGUGAAAUUGUUGAAAGGGAAGCGCUUGCAAUCAGACUCACUUGCGGUUGAUCAACAAUCCUUUUGGUUUGUGCACUCUGCCGUUUGUGGGCCAGCAUCAGCUGGGGCGGUGGGACAAAGGCAGCGGGAAUGUGGCUCCCCUCGGGGAGUGUUAUAGCCCGUUGCGUAAUGCCACCAGCCCCGGCUGAGGUCCGCGGUUCGCCUAGGAUGCUGGCUUAAUGGUUGUAAGCGACCCGUCUUGAAACACGGACCAAGGAGUCUAACAUCUAUGCGAGUCUUUGGGUGUCAAACCCAUAGGCGUAAUGAAAGUGAACGGAGGUGGGAGUCUUCGGAUGCACCAUCGACCGAUCCUGAUGUUCUCGGAUGGAUUUGAGUAGGAGCAUAGCUGUUGGGACCCGAAAGAUGGUGAACUAUGCCUGAAUAGGGUGAAGCCAGAGGAAACUCUGGUGGAGGCUCGCAGCGGUUCUGACGUGCAAAUCGAUCGUCAAAUUUGGGUAUAGGGGCGAAAGACUAAUCGAACCAUCUAGUAGCUGGUUCCUGCCGAG
RNAcentral lists this ribosomal RNA (872 nucleotides) under Monacrosporium doedycoides. RNAcentral describes it as "partial large subunit ribosomal RNA". It matches the Rfam family "Eukaryotic large subunit ribosomal RNA", at positions 74 to 965 of the family's 3401-position model. Lineage: Eukaryota; Fungi; Ascomycota; Orbiliomycetes; Orbiliales; Orbiliaceae. The record is from RNAcentral.